Long non-coding RNA from Sitophilus oryzae (rice weevil), 161 nucleotides. RefSeq lists it as uncharacterized. The record is from RefSeq and is a predicted model, not a curated record. The transcript has 3 exons. NCBI's taxonomy places the organism in Eukaryota, Metazoa, Arthropoda, Insecta, Coleoptera, Curculionidae.
UUCAUAAUCAAUUAUCUGAUAAUUGAAGCAUUCCCUCGAAUAAGGGUUUAUGUUGCAUUUUUCAGAUAUUGGGAUUUUUGCACAAAAAGGGUCUGUGUAGACAAGUUCAUCCUUUUACAAUAAUAAAUACCCGAUAAUGUGCCGUCAUCUAUGAACAACAU